Molecule: long non-coding RNA, 301 nt
Organism: Zophobas morio
Lineage: Eukaryota; Metazoa; Arthropoda; Insecta; Coleoptera; Tenebrionidae
Exons: 4
Source: RefSeq, a predicted model, not a curated record
GUUUAAGAACAAAUUACAAAGUGCAAAAAAGCUCCUUUAAACAAUACAGCAGACCAUAACUUUAUUUUGAUAACCUUAAAGAAGAUGGGUGAAAGCCAUAUUAAAGAGCUUCUUGUUUUAUCUGAAAAGGGGCUACAUUUAUUAAACAGUCUAUUAUCUAACGCCACAAGAAUACUCGGUUGUCUUUCCAAAGCAGAAAAAUUAAAAGAAGAAUUUCUCGACUCCGGCAGUUCGCAGCUUGAAAAAGGUUUUCACUCUUUUGAACAAGACGCAGGCAAUUUAAAAGAAACCAUUCUUAAAA